AUACUUACCUGGCAGGGGAGAUACCAUGAUCCUGAAGGUGUUUCUCCCAGGGCGAGGCUUAUCCAUUGCAUGCCGGAUGUUCCGACCCCUGUGAUUUCCCCAAAUGUGGGAAACUCAGCUGAAUAACUUGUGGGAGUGGUGGACUGCGUUUGCACUCUGCCC
This is a small nuclear RNA of Pteronotus mesoamericanus, 162 nucleotides long. RefSeq annotates it as U1 spliceosomal RNA. Lineage: Eukaryota; Metazoa; Chordata; Mammalia; Chiroptera; Mormoopidae. The record is from RefSeq and is a predicted model, not a curated record. The transcript has a single exon.